This 1218-nucleotide ribosomal RNA is filed under the name Pristimantis sp. QCAZ 47353. RNAcentral describes it as "partial 16S ribosomal RNA". It matches the Rfam family "Bacterial large subunit ribosomal RNA", at positions 929 to 2925 of the family's 2925-position model. The record is from RNAcentral. Lineage: Eukaryota; Metazoa; Chordata; Amphibia; Anura; Strabomantidae.
AAUUUUUAGUUCCGCCUAAAGUAAACCGCUACCUCCCCAUGUCCCCCCUUUAGAGUAAUUCAAAUGAGGUACAGCCCAUUUGAUCCAGGAUACAACCUUAACUAACGGGUAAAAAUCAAUUUACAUCUUUAAGUAGGCCUAAGAGCAGCCACCUUUUAAAAAGCGUCAAAGCUUAACUUUGCCCAUAUUAAUUUAAAAACCUAAAUUGACCCCUUUAACUAUACUGAGAACUUCUAUAACCUUAUAGAACUUUUUAUGCUAAAACUAGUAACAAGAAGAAAACCCUCUCCUAAAUGCAAGCGUAAGCCAGCAAGAAUCCACCACUGGCAACUAACAGCCCACAAAGUAGCAACCUCACCCAAGAAAACCCUUCUUUCCCCACCCCCUGUUAAACUAACACUAGAGCAUUUCAAGAAAAAUUAAAAGAAAAAGAAGGAACUCGGCAAACACUAGCCCCGCCUGUUUACCAAAAACAUCGCCUCUUGCCCCCCCCCAUAAGAGGUCCAGCCUGCCCAGUGACUCUGUUCAACGGCCGCGGUAUUCUAACCGUGCGAAGGUAGCGUAAUCACUUGUUUUCUAAAUAAAGACCAGUAUGAAAGGCAUCACGAGGACUAACCUGUCUCCUUUUUCUAAUUAGUGAACCUAAUCUCCCCGUGAAGAAGCGGGGAUUAAAAUAUAAGACGAGAAGACCCUGUGGAGCUUAAAAUAUUAUAACACCUGCCCAUACGCCCCAACUACCCCGGUCCCUCACCCAAACGGCACUCUGAUUAUAUGUUUUUGGUUGGGGUGACCGCGGAGAAAAACCUAUCCUCCACAAUGAAAGGGGUACCCCCCCCAAGCAAUAAGCCACGACUUUACGCAUCAAAAAAUUGACAUCCAUCGACCCAACAAGUUGAUCAAUGAACCAAGUUACCCCAGGGAUAACAGCACAAUCCACUUUGAGAGCCCCUAUCGACAAGUGGGCUUAUGACCUCGAUGUUGGAUCGGGGUAUCCUAGUGGUGCAGCCGCUACUAAAGGUUCGUUUGUUCAACGAUUAAAACCCCACGUGAUCUGAGUUCAGACCGGAGCAAUCCAGGUCAGUUUCUAUCUAUAACAGCGCUAAUUUCAGUACGAAAGGACCAAAAUAGCAUGGCCUAUACCCCCACAAGCCAUAAUUAACCAUCUAUGACCCACACUCAAAAAAUAAUUAACCUGCCCCCUCCCUCAAGAAAAGAGUA